Molecule: transfer RNA, 26 nt
Filed under: Phataginus tricuspis (Tree pangolin)
Lineage: Eukaryota; Metazoa; Chordata; Mammalia; Pholidota; Manidae
Description: partial tRNA-Pro
Source: RNAcentral
CAGAGAGUAGUUUAUAGAGAAUAUCA